This 429-nucleotide ribosomal RNA is filed under the name Bacteroidota bacterium. RNAcentral's name for it is "Bacteroidetes bacterium partial 16S ribosomal RNA". It matches the Rfam family "Bacterial small subunit ribosomal RNA", at positions 355 to 776 of the family's 1533-position model. Lineage: Bacteria; Pseudomonadati; Bacteroidota. The record is from RNAcentral.
UAGGGAAUCUUCCGCAAUGGGCGAAAGCCUGACGGAGCAACGCCGCGUGAGUGAUGAAGGUCUUCGGUUCGUAAAACUCUGUUGUUAGAGAAGAACAGCGCAUAGAGUAACUGUUAUGCGUGUGACGGUAUCUAACCAGAAAGCCACGGCUAACUACGUGCCAGCAGCCGCGGUAAUACGUAGGUGGCAAGCGUUGUCCGGAUUUAUUGGGCGUAAAGCGAGCGCAGGCGGUCAAUUAAGUCUGAUGUGAAAGCCCCCGGCUCAACCGGGGAGGGUCAUUGGAAACUGGUUGACUUGAGUGCAGAAGAGGAGAGUGGAAUUCCAUGUGUAGCGGUGAAAUGCGUAGAUAUAUGGAGGAACACCAGUGGCGAAGGCGACUCUCUGGUCUGUAACUGACGCUGAGGCUCGAAAGCGUGGGUAGCAAACAGG